UACGAAGGGGGCUAGCGUUGCUCGGAAUUACUGGGCGUAAAGGGCGCGUAGGUGGACUGUUUAGUCAGAGGUGAAAGCCCAGGGCUCAACCUUGGAAUUGCCUUUGAUACUGGCAGUCUUGAGUACGGAAGAGGUAUGUGGAACUCCGAGUGUAGAGGUGAAAUGCGCAGAUAUCAGGAAGAACACCCGUGGCGAAGGCGGCUCUCUGGGACGGUACUGACGCUGAGACGCGAAAGCGUGGGGAGCGAACAGG
This 253-nucleotide ribosomal RNA is filed under the name uncultured bacterium. Its description in RNAcentral is "partial 16S ribosomal RNA". It matches the Rfam family "Bacterial small subunit ribosomal RNA", at positions 524 to 776 of the family's 1533-position model. The record is from RNAcentral.